Molecule: ribosomal RNA, 337 nt
Filed under: uncultured Anaerolineaceae bacterium
Lineage: Bacteria; Bacillati; Chloroflexota; Anaerolineae; Anaerolineales; Anaerolineaceae
Description: bacterial SSU rRNA
Rfam family: Bacterial small subunit ribosomal RNA
Source: RNAcentral
CAGGUGCUGCAUGGCUGUCGUCAGCUCGUGUCGUGAGAUGUUCGGUUAAGUCCGCUAACGAGCGCAACCCUCGCUGUGUGGUUUACAAGUGUCACACGGAACUGCCGGUCAUAAACCGGAGGAAGGUGGGGAUGACGUCAAGUCAGCAUGGCCUUUAUAUCCUGGGCUACACACACGCUACAAUGGGAAGGGACAAUAGGUUGCGAAGCCGCGAGGCGGAGCCAAUCCAGCAAAACUUCCCUCAGUUCAGAUUGCAGGCUGCAACCCGCCUGCAUGAAGUUGGAGUUGCUAGUAAACGCAGGUCAGCCAUACUGCGUUGAAUACGUUCCCGGGGCUU